CUGCGGAGGCGGGGCUGCGGCGGAGGCGUGGGCCUUCCUGGGGUCCGCCUCCGCUGCGGGAGAGGUCCGGGUCUCUGGCGGAGCUGAGGCCGCCGGUUCCGUCCGAGGAAGGUUCCGCGUCACGGAAGUGGAAGUCACAUGCUAACCAAGCUGUGCGCGCUUCUAGCUUCUAGCGUCGCUGAGCGAUUUCCUUUUACUAAGCGCAGUUUGCCGCAGAAUGUCGAGCGAUACAGUGGCCACCGUAUCUUAACACCCCCUAUUUCAUACCCCGUCACAGUGUGCGUCGCUCUGAACUUUUGUGAACGCUUCUGCAAAAGACCCUCAAAGUAUUGCUAGCUCUCAAGACAAGGUUUCUCUGUGUAGCCUUGGCUGAACUGCUCCCUAGACCAAGCUGGCCCUGAACCCGCCUGCCUCUGCCUCCCCUCCUGCUGGGAUCACAGAAGAAAACCUGCAAGAGGCAGCUCUGUUCUUCCACCAUGGAUCACAGGAGAGAACUCAGGCCCAGCGAAUGACCUGGACAGGAGCCAAGGCCUAGUCCUGCGAUGGCUGUUGCUGCUAUCAACCUGACCAUGAAAGCUUACACCUGCCAACUGAAGCAAAAGCUAACCGCCAUGCAUGCUUCUGGAAGAAUCUCCAUUUGCUUGCUUACUUGCCCUAUCUUAUCGUUUUAGAAGAUAAAAUGAGACUG
This is a long non-coding RNA of Psammomys obesus (fat sand rat), 688 nucleotides long. RefSeq lists it as uncharacterized. The record is from RefSeq and is a predicted model, not a curated record. NCBI's taxonomy places the organism in Eukaryota, Metazoa, Chordata, Mammalia, Rodentia, Muridae. The transcript is spliced from 4 exons.